This 279-nucleotide ribosomal RNA is filed under the name uncultured bacterium. RNAcentral describes it as "partial 16S ribosomal RNA". It matches the Rfam family "Bacterial small subunit ribosomal RNA", at positions 506 to 784 of the family's 1533-position model. The record is from RNAcentral.
UGCCAGCCGCCGCGGUAAUACGUAGGGCGCAAGCGUUGUCCGGAAUUAUUGGGCGUAAAGAGCUUGUAGGUGGCUUGUCGCGUCUGCCGUGAAAACCCGAGGCUCAACCUCGGGCGUGCGGUGGGUACGGGCAGGCUAGAGUGUGGUAGGGGAGACUGGAACUCCUGGUGUAGCGGUGAUAUGCGCAGAUAUCAGGAAGAACACCGAUGGCGAAGGCAGGUCUCUGGGCCAUUACUGACACUGAGAAGCGAAAGCAUGGGGAGCGAACAGGAUUAGAUA